GACGAACGCUGGCGGUGUGCUUCACACAUGCAAGUCGAACGAGGUAGCAAUACCUAGUGGCGGACGGGUGAGUAACGCGUGGGAAUCUGCCUUUAGAUGGGGGAUAACGGGUCGAAAGACUCGCUAAUACCGCAUAUGACGAAAGUUGAAAGGACGUAAUCCGUCUAAAGAUGAGCUCGCGUCCGAUUAGCUAGUUGGUAGAGUAAAAGCCUACCAAGGCGACGAUCGGUAGCUGGUCUGAGAGGAUGAUCAGCCACAAUGGGACUAGAGACACGGCCCAUACUCCUACGGAGCAGCAGUGGGAAUUUACGCAAUGGGCGAAAGCCUGACGUAGUGACACCGCGUGAGCGAAGAAGCCC
Molecule: ribosomal RNA, 359 nt
Filed under: uncultured bacterium
Lineage: Bacteria
Description: bacterial SSU rRNA
Rfam family: Bacterial small subunit ribosomal RNA
Source: RNAcentral